CCUGCCCUGAAGUGGGGGAUAACAUUUGGAAACAGAUGCUAAUACCGCAUAACAAUGACAGGUCACAUGACUUUUAUUUGAAAGAUGGAGCAAUCUAUCAGUUCAGGAUGGACCUGCGGCGUAUCAGCUAGUUGGUAAGGUAGAGGCUUACCAAGGCGAUGAUACGUAGCCGACUUGAGAGAGUGAUCGGGCACAUAGGGACUGAUACACGGCCCAAACUCCUACGGGAGGCAUCAGUAUGGAAUCUUCCACAAUGGACGAAAGUCUGAUGGAGCAACGCCGCGUGAGUGAAGAAGGGUCUCGGCUCGUAGAACUCUGUUAUUGGAGAAGAAUGAUAACGUAAGUAACUGUACUUUAUUUGACGGUACCCAAUCAGAAAGUCACGGCUAACUACGUGCCAGCAGCCGCGGUAAUACGUAGGUGGCAAGCGUUGUCCGGAAUUACUGGGCGUACAGAGCACGUAGGCGGGAACCUAAGUCAGGUGUGAAAGACCGUGGCUCACGCACGGGUAUGCAUUUGAAACUGGGUGUCUUGAGGGCAGGCGACGAAAGCAGAAAUCCUGGUGUUACGGUGAAAUGCGUAAAAAUCAUGAGGAAUAGCAGUGGCGAAGGCGGUUUUCUGGACUGUACCUGACGCUGAGGUGCGAAAGCGUGGGUAACAAACAAGAUUAGAUACCCUGUUAAUCCAUGCCGUAUAUAUGGAUACUA
This 707-nucleotide ribosomal RNA is filed under the name uncultured bacterium. Its description in RNAcentral is "bacterial SSU rRNA". It matches the Rfam family "Bacterial small subunit ribosomal RNA", at positions 125 to 818 of the family's 1533-position model. The record is from RNAcentral.